This 221-nucleotide non-coding RNA is filed under the name Hyphomicrobium nitrativorans NL23. The record is from RNAcentral. RNAcentral also lists the same sequence under 1 other name. Lineage: Bacteria; Pseudomonadati; Pseudomonadota; Alphaproteobacteria; Hyphomicrobiales; Hyphomicrobiaceae.
GCUAUUGAAAGCGUCAUAGGUCGCCGGGCGGAACCGCUCGGCGCUAAGAGGGAACCCGGUGCGCUCGGCUUUCUGCGAAGGCGAGCAAUCCCGGGGCUGCCCCCGCAACUGUAAGCAGCGAGUUGCCUGUCGAGAGCGGCCACUGGUGCAUGGCACCGGGAAGGCCAGACAGGCGACACUGACCUGCGAGCCAGGAGACCUGCCUGUGACGAGAUUAAUUC